ACUCUGUGACGCGGAGGGACAUUACCGAGUUUACAACUCCCAAACCCCUGUGAACAUACCACUUGUUGCCUCGGCGGAUCAGCCCGCUCCCGGUAAAACGGGACGGCCCGCCAGAGGACCCCUAAACUCUGUUUCUAUAUGUAACUUCUGAGUAAAACCAUAAAUAAAUCAAAACUUUCAACAACGGAUCUCUUGGUUCUGGCAUCGAUGAAGAACGCAGCAAAAUGCGAUAAGUAAUGUGAAUUGCAGAAUUCAGUGAAUCAUCGAAUCUUUGAACGCACAUUGCGCCCGCCAGUAUUCUGGCGGGCAUGCCUGUUCGAGCGUCAUUUCAACCCUCAAGCACAGCUUGGUGUUGGGACUCGCGUUAAUUCGCGUUCCCCAAAUUGAUUGGCGGUCACGUCGAGCUUCCAUAGCGUAGUAGUAAAACCCUCGUUACUGGUAAUCGUCGCGGCCACGCCGUUAAACCCCAACUUCUGAAUGUUGACCUCGGAUCAGGUAGGAAUACCCGCUGAACUUAAGCAUAUCAAUAAGCGGGAGGAAA
This 541-nucleotide ribosomal RNA is filed under the name Fusarium oxysporum. RNAcentral's name for it is "eukaryotic LSU rRNA". The stretch from base 173 to 326 matches the Rfam family "5.8S ribosomal RNA". The record is from RNAcentral. Lineage: Eukaryota; Fungi; Ascomycota; Sordariomycetes; Hypocreales; Nectriaceae.